This is a long non-coding RNA of Solea senegalensis (Senegalese sole), 686 nucleotides long. RefSeq lists it as uncharacterized. The transcript has 5 exons. NCBI's taxonomy places the organism in Eukaryota, Metazoa, Chordata, Actinopteri, Pleuronectiformes, Soleidae. The record is from RefSeq and is a predicted model, not a curated record.
CGGAAGCGGAAGACACUCGUUAAUGACCUGACUAACGGCGGCGUGGAGCCGUGCGUGGAGCCAUACGUGGAGCGUGUGGUGAAGCUUGAUCAUGAUGGAGCUAAAAGGAAAAACAUGCAGAGCAUGUAUCAGAACAUAUAUUGGAGAUGACAUGCAGUGAUACAGGCUUGGUUGUGUUAGUCAUUGCACAUUAAUCCAACAAAAUGAGACCACUGUGACCUUCAGCCUGUGACGAGUAACCUGAAGUUGAGCAGCUGGUGUUGUGUGGAAAAACUGUCAACUCAUUCGCUCAUGCUCCUUCAUAUAAAGACACUCCCUGCCAAAGGAUGAUGGAAGUUGUGGAUGUGAAUGUUUCUCACCUUUUGUAUAAUUGCAAUUUAAUUGUAUUGGUGUUACUGGAAGAAAACAUUGAGAUUCAGAAGCAUUGAAGAAUUUUCCAAAAACAAAGACUUUUACUUUAAAUUAAACACACGUUAAAAUAACUUGAUUGCAUAUGUUUUACAACUCCCUGUGUAGCUCUUAAUAAUAUAGUACAUCCUGCAUAAUGAGCAAAUGGCCACAUGGUAAACACAAAUGUCUGUCAUUUGUCACAAUAUGAAAGGACUGGGCUAUAUGGACAAACAAGACUGUCAUAAUAACUUAUAAAUGUCAUAUAAUUAAAGAUCAGUAUUUGCUCCAAAAAUGUA